RNAcentral lists this ribosomal RNA (285 nucleotides) under Triticum aestivum (bread wheat). Its description in RNAcentral is "partial small subunit ribosomal RNA". Lineage: Eukaryota; Viridiplantae; Streptophyta; Magnoliopsida; Poales; Poaceae. The record is from RNAcentral.
GGUUGCAAUCGCCUUUUCAUUAAUUCUCACAAUAUGGAAGUCAUUGAUACCAUGAAGAAUGGAGGACGUUUAGCACGAGCUGCAGCGGCGGUUUUUGAUGAUUGUUAUUUUUUAGCCUGUGAUUUUCCUCUCACUAGUUUUGAGCAUUGUAAUAGGGAAGCGAAUAAGGUAGCUCAUGAACUUGCCAAGUUAGCUAGAUUUUAUGAGACAAGGGGGUGGUUUGAGGAGCCUUUGGUCGAAAUUGUACAACCUCUAAUAGACGAUGUAACAGUUAUUUCUAAUUAA